CCUACGGGCGGCAGCAGUGGGGAAUAUUGCACAAUGGGGGAAACCCUGAUGCAGCAACGCCGCGUGGGUGAAGGAGCGUUUCGGCGCGUAAAGCCCUGUCAGCGGGGAAGAAGGAAGACGGUACCCGAACAAGAAGCACCGGCUAAGUACGUGCCAGCAGCCGCGGUAAAACGUAGGGGGCUAGCGUUAUCCGGAAUUACGGGGGGUAAAGGAAUCGUAGACGGCGAGUUAAGCCUGCAGUGGAAGCCCGGGGCUUAACCGGGGAACUGCUUUGGUAACUGGUGUGCGGGAGUAUGGGAGGGGGAAGUGGAAUUCCUGGUGUAGCGGUGAAAUGCGUAGAGAUGAGGAGGAACACCGGUGGCGAAGGCGGCUUCCUGGACAAUAACUGACGUUGAGGUUCGAAAGCGUGGGGAGCGAACAGGAUUAGAUACCCUGGUAGUC
Molecule: ribosomal RNA, 441 nt
Filed under: uncultured bacterium
Lineage: Bacteria
Description: partial 16S ribosomal RNA
Rfam family: Bacterial small subunit ribosomal RNA
Source: RNAcentral